RNAcentral lists this ribosomal RNA (450 nucleotides) under uncultured bacterium. RNAcentral's name for it is "bacterial SSU rRNA". It matches the Rfam family "Bacterial small subunit ribosomal RNA", at positions 354 to 796 of the family's 1533-position model. The record is from RNAcentral.
GUGGGGAAUUUUGGACAAUGGGCGAAAGCCUGAUCCAGCCAUGCCGCGUGCAGGAUGAAGGCCUUCGGGUUGUAAACUGCUUUUGUACGGAACGAAAAGACUCCUUCUAAUAAAGGGGGUCCAUGACGGUACCGUAAGAAUAAGCACCGGCUAACUACGUGCCAGCAGCCGCGGUAAUACGUAGGGUGCAAGCGUUAAUCGGAAUUACUGGGCGUAAAGCGUGCGCAGGCGGUUAUAUAAGACAGCUGUGAAAUCCCCGGGCUCAACCUGGGAACUGCAUUUGUGACUGUAUAGCUAGAGUACGGUAGAGGGGGAUGGAAUUCCGCGUGUAGCAGUGAGAUGCGUAGAUAUGCGGAGGAAUACCGAUGGCGAAGGCAAUCCCCUGGACCUGUACUGACGCUCAUGCACGAAAGCGUGGGGAGCAAACAGGAUUAGAAACCCGAGUAGUCC